GGAGGGCUGGCUGAGUGGUCGAAAGCAACGGUCUUGAAAACCGUCGAGGGUUUGCGCCCUCCCAGGGUUCGAAUCCCUGGCCCUCCA
RNAcentral lists this transfer RNA (87 nucleotides) under Marinospirillum alkaliphilum DSM 21637. It matches the Rfam family "tRNA". Rfam says of the family: Transfer RNA (tRNA) molecules are approximately 80 nucleotides in length. Their secondary structure includes four short double-helical elements and three loops (D, anti-codon, and T loops). Further hydrogen bonds mediate the characteristic L-shaped molecular structure. tRNAs have two regions of fundamental functional importance: the anti-codon, which is responsible for specific mRNA codon recognition, and the 3' end, to which the tRNAs corresponding amino acid is attached (by aminoacyl-tRNA synthetases). tRNAs cope with the degeneracy of the genetic code in two manners: having more than one tRNA (with a specific anti-codon) for a particular amino acid; and 'wobble' base-pairing, i.e. permitting non-standard base-pairing at the 3rd anti-codon position. The record is from Rfam by way of RNAcentral. Lineage: Bacteria; Pseudomonadati; Pseudomonadota; Gammaproteobacteria; Oceanospirillales; Oceanospirillaceae.